Molecule: long non-coding RNA, 3027 nt
Organism: Xiphias gladius (swordfish)
Lineage: Eukaryota; Metazoa; Chordata; Actinopteri; Istiophoriformes; Xiphiidae
Exons: 3
Source: RefSeq, a predicted model, not a curated record
CGUCGGCUAAGUAUCAAGCUAAGACCCAUCGUUUGUCCUGCAGAGAUCACUAACUGGCAAACUCUAGCCAAAUUUUCAAUAAGGUCCGGCUACACGACUUCCGUGAGUAGAGGCUUGAGGGGCCUGAUGCGUCGACGGAGCUGCUGCUACCCAACAGCAGUAGGCAGAGCCUUUUUCCUAAAAUCUGCAUGUACUCGUGUCUGAGUGCAGUGUGCAUCCGCCCGACCCAGAUAGCGAUAAGCAUGGGUGAAGGGUGCUACAGAGGGAAGAACCAGUGAAAUUCCAGAGGAGCUGCAGAAGAUCCAGCCAGGCAAGUGGGUGUACAUCCAGGUGUUCAAGAGCGAAUGGAAUGAGCUAAAGAGAGAAAGCCCAUUCAGGGUGUUCUUGAUAACUCCAACUGCCCUUAAGGUUGAGGGAAAGAAGGUCCGGUACCACCUCAACCACUGCAGCAGAUCAGAGGAACCAGGCCAGAGACAAGUGAGUGACAUCGGAGAUCAGCAGGCUACCAACCAAGGGGAGGCAUUGGUGGUGAGGAUUGUGAUGGACAAUAAAACCUGACCUCGUCACCAACAGCCAGGCCUUGGUAUCCUUUCAGGAGGAUGGGCUGUGGCAUAAGGGGCUGCGUAUGUGCAUUGUUACUUAUCAGCAUGCCUAUUCUACUCCCUAUUCUGUGCAAACUGGAAGGGAAAAGUACAGCAAAAGUGUAUAUACUAACAUCCAACCCACUGAGUAAGACCAACUACUAUGUCAAUGAUGCCCAGGUCCUGACAUUUCUAGCUAUAGCUAAAACAAAAGUAAUUAGCUCUAACAAACAAAAACCUAAUUGUACACUAGCAACAGCAAUGUUAUCUGCCUCACAAAGUAGACUGCCUUUGGGAGAGACAGUAUUUUUGACCUAACACCAGCCCCUUCAUUUAUCCUGUAUAACAGCCAAAGUACUAAACUGGCCAGCUAUGCAAGGCCCACUAAUGCACAGGAGAUGCAGCGGUACAGGGGAAGUGAUGGUACAGAUACGAUAUCUGAGUGAUCACUGUGUACAUGUUGAUUUAUAUAAAUUUAUGAGCAAGGGGAGAUCACAAUGUAUGGUUGGGCCAACAGGAAUACAGGACAGAAGCAGAAAGUGUUAAAAAUGACACACAAAUCGACCAACUAUGGAGUAAAGAACGUACGUCACGAUGGCAGAGAAAUGUGUUCUAUCGAUGUUUGAAAUACUUAGCUGAGCAAGUGAACAAAGAGACAUGCAUAACAUUCUAUAAUAUGGGGAAAACUCCCCAAGUAAGGCAACUGCCUUUUACACCAGAGGAAUGCAAGGGAGAAUGGCUAAAGUUUGUUAUGAUUAAUGACACACUAUUUAAUUGACAGUGUGUAUUGUAGUACUUAUCCAGAAUUGGUCCACAACUUAUGGUUAAACAUUUUCAGGAAUGUCAAGAUGUGUUUGUCCAGGAGGAGAAGGAAGUAGUUUUAAUGCGGCCAGUAGUGAAAAUACCUAAGAACAUUGAGUUUCCAUUCUGUAUCAUAAGACGCAAGGAGCUGGAAGAAAUAAUGACUGAGUUUAUGAAAACGGGCUCAGUAAGGUAAAAGAACUUAAAAGAGAAGAGAAGAUUGUGGAUUUCAUAUUGGCAAGAGCUGUUUGGUAUACCUAAUGAGCAUAAAGCAAUCUCAGACAUUUUAUCGCCAGAUGGUCCAUUUGCAGGAAUGACAGCAACAAGGAAUGGGCAAUGGAUAAACUAUUUGUGGUAUAAUCAGCAAAGGUUUAUCAAUUUUACCGUGCAAGCAAUAGAGCGGGUAAAAGAACAGCUGCAUGCCACAAGCACUUUGACACUUCAGAAUAGAUUCAUCCUUGACACCAUGUUAGCUUAAGAGCAGGGAGUAUGCAUGCGCAAUGGGGAAGAAUGUUGCACAGUUAUCCCAAUGCAAGCAGGACAGGAUGGUAACCUAACAAUGGUGUUAGAAAAUCUGAAAAACCUAAGAGAUGAGCAUGUCACAAAGGCAGAACCAGAGGGUUGGUCAUGAGUGGAAGACAUAUUGGUUGAUGAAUUUGGAAAAUGGGAGGUAGACCCCAACUUCAAUUUGCCAAUAAAAAGGAUAGUCAAUCUGUGUUCAAUAGAAAUGCAAACUUAGAUGAUUGAGAAAAAUACAUUAAUUGUAAUUGUAGUAAGACCAUAGUACCUGAAGUCACAUUACUGAAACAAGAUACUUACUGAGGCUGCAAAUAACAUUCCAGUAUCCAGCCUUUUCAGACUGGUGCUGUAAAGACCCUACAUUCUUUAUAGGGCAUCAUGUGAUUACCAGAGUAUGGUAGAGUCUUAGUGUGAUCAAGUUUAUGGUAGGGUUUGACAUAAUCUGGACAAACAUGCCACGUGCUCCUGGAAACCAAACUGGAGUAGUUUCCCUCAUGGGUGGACCCAAGGUACUUACAUUGCUGUGCAUCGUAAGUGCUAGUAACCUCUCCACAGCAAUGGUCCCCUGCAGUGUGUCUAACACUUGGGCUGAAGACAGAGACAGUGGUGUUGACUACAGAUUGCACUAAAACAAUGGACAUUUUCCAGUGAGACACUGUAAUAUCUGUAAUAAUCUAGGAAACAUGUAAUCGUUGGAACUUUAUUCUGGUGAUUUUCAUCGUUACUGGUCCCUCUUUUAGAGAGAGUGUAAUUGUGUUUCAGUUUUUUCAUUCUUACCAAUAUAAUGUUUUGUUACCAAUUUACAAUUGGCUUGCGCAACAUAUGUUAGCAGAAAAAUAACAUUUAUACAAUAUAAUGUUUAUUGAUUAGGGGCAGGAGCACAGUGUGGCUUUUACUCCAUCCAAGCCAAACAGACAGGAGAUGUUUAUGAGGGUUGUGCUCAUACUCUGCUGACAAAUCUCUCUCCAAGUGAGAGUCAUCGUCUUAAUGAUCACUGAUGCCAUGAGUCAGCGACUCCUGCAUGGUUGGACAAACUCUGUCAACAGGAGAUAGGGAAAGGUGUGUCAAGGUGUUACAAUAUGUGUGUGACUUACAAGGCAUAAAGAGGGGAAUUAUGUGGGAAAUG